UCCCACUUCUCCCUCUCUCGCACGCCCGUGCAUCCCCCCUCACACGCCGGCGCGGCCACUGCCCGAUCCGCCUCCCCCGGCCGCCUCCCAGUCUGGUGACGAGCGCGCCGCACUAUUGCGGGAACGCCUCGCCCACCUUCCCUGUCAGGAAGCCACCUCCCCUCUCUCACCGCCGGCCACACGCACCUGCACGCGCGACGCCACGGCGUGGCCACGACGGCCGCCGGCCUGCUCCUGCCACUCCGAGGAGCGCCCUGCGUCCGCCACAUCACGCCACGUCAACCCAACCCCUCACCCCACGCCAGAGCCUCCCUCUUGCCCUCUGCACCUGCACCGCACCGGCGCACCCCGCAUAUGCCCGCCAUUAAUGGCCGGCGAGCUUAUCCGCUCGCCGCUAGCUCCGUCCGCCGGCACAAGCCCAUCUACGGGAAAUUCCCGGGGCUAUAAAUAGCCCCGCCACCCCACCUCUCCACCUCGCACCACCUGCUCUCCUCUCCUCGACGGCUUAGGAAACCGCCGCGCCUCCUCCACCCGCCGCCACGCUCUAUCCCCUAGAGCCGGGCCGGGUCGAAGUCGAGGAGCACUGCGUGGCGUUAGACACCCUCCCCCGUGAGGCCUUGGUCCUAGAGCGGCCGAACCUCGCUAUCCCAGCUCCGCCGCCGCUCAACCCCGUCGCCGAAGACGCCGUCGCCUCUGGUCCACGCGUCCACCAUCCCGGUCCACGCCACAGUAGACCCCGGCGCGUCCCACUGACCACGUUGACCCGUCCCCACUUGUCAGCCUCCCAUCCGUCCCAAAAUUGCUAGGUACCCCCCACUUAGUGCACACCAAAUGUUAUUCUACCCAUUCCUUUUAUCCAAAAAUUCCACCAAAAUUCCCCAAAAUAUUAGAUGAUCCCACAAGCCAUUUAGAACAAUCCAAACUCUUUUUACACAUCUCUAAGGUCUUAAAACCGAAUUCCCUAAACUCAAAGAAGCGAGCUGCAUCAUGUGAAUGUGCAGAUGCACCUGCACCAAAGCGGCUCAGGCCAUCCCAUCUGCCCACGGAGCUUAAGAUUGGUUAUUCUGGUUCAGCUGGUAAGCCUAACCGGCUGACAAACCUCUCCGAGUUUGGCUACUCUGGAUUUAUCAGGGUAGGGAAAAUCGCUUGCAAAACUGAAAUAAAGAUACCAGAGAUUCUAGGAUAUCUACUCCCUCCAGAGUGAUGUGUCAGAGUCGCGCCUGCCUACUAUGCCCACCUUGCUGCAUUCCGUGCUCGCUACUAUGUGGAAGGAGAAAGCUCGGGCGGUGGCUCGACCCCUGGCAGCAGCGGACAGGCAGCUCGUGAGGGUCCUGUGGAGGUGCGCCAACUUCCGAAGAUCAAGGACAACGUCAAGGACGUUAUGUUCUACUGCUGAACUGCUCCAAGUUUGGUUAAUGAUGGGGUGUUCUCUUUUUUGGUCGGGAUGCCAAGAUGUUGGUGAGAAGUGGUUGAUGGUGGUAGUUUUCUUAUGAUGGACUUGUCCUGAUUUUGGUCCUGGUUACCGUACUGUCAUCUUGGUAUUCGAAGUAGCUAGGUUAUAACUGAGCUUGUUGGUUUUCAAGGCCUGAAACUCUGGAUGGAACCAAUGCAAGUACUCUUUAAGUUUUAUGUUCUCGAUGGCUGCUGUUUGCCCAUCUGCCUUGCUGCUCGGUUUGCUUAACAUGUUGUGUUUCUGGAGAAAAUGAGAUUUAUUUGAA
Setaria italica (foxtail millet) is the source of this 1718-nucleotide long non-coding RNA. RefSeq lists it as uncharacterized. NCBI's taxonomy places the organism in Eukaryota, Viridiplantae, Streptophyta, Magnoliopsida, Poales, Poaceae. The transcript is spliced from 2 exons. The record is from RefSeq and is a predicted model, not a curated record.